This is a long non-coding RNA of Corythoichthys intestinalis (scribbled pipefish), 3804 nucleotides long. RefSeq lists it as uncharacterized. The record is from RefSeq and is a predicted model, not a curated record. NCBI's taxonomy places the organism in Eukaryota, Metazoa, Chordata, Actinopteri, Syngnathiformes, Syngnathidae. The transcript is spliced from 5 exons.
CAUCCAUCUAUCACACGUGUAGACAAAGGGGGGACUCUACAACACAAAGCUGUAUGUGUCUUAACAAACUUUAUUUUGUUACCCCUGUCUGCGACGCACGGAGCAAAGCACCUUCAGAUGAGUGCAGGAACUCCAGAGUCGUCUAUGAAGAUUCUUAAGGAUUAGGAGACAGAACACUUUAGUUUUGAAGAAGACGAGGACGCAGGAUUUAAACGCCUGGAGCAGCUUUGCCUUGAAGGAUGCUUUCGUGGCUUAUUUGGAAAUGCAAAAACCUGGAUAUACUUUGUAGAUUGAAUGCUCACCAGGCAGGAUGGCACAGAAUGAUUAGGGAUCCCACAUAGAAAUGGAUCAUGUGCAGCUUUGGAGCUUUCGGUCCACAUAACAUUGUGUAGCCAUUACUGCUGUGAAAAUGGGACUGGUGGAAUGAUGAGGUCUAGGGGAUCAUGACCUUAAUUUUCUCCAAAACAGACACUUAAUUAAUUGUAGAGGAAUUCUGGCUGGCUCCAAACUGACAACUGGAAUGUUCAAGGGAAUCAAGGUGUCAGCAACCCUGGGCUCCGGAGCUGCAUGUGGCUCUUGCGUCUCUCUUGCAGUCUCUCUCUUGCAGUCCCUCUUUCCUGCCAUUGAAGACGGUGGAAUUAUGCAUCCUCGAUGAUGCUGCAGUGACAAAUUGGGCCCAGGAGAGGGACAAUAUAUCUGCUUUACAUAAUGCAUCUUUCCUUGCAAGAGUUUAAAGUGCCUGUGACAGGAUAAAAAAAAAUCUUAAAUAGCAUUACUAUGAGAAUUAAAAUCAUAUAUUGAGUAGGGCUGUCAAACGAUUAAUAUUUUUAAUCGAGUUAAUUACAGCUUAGAAAUUAAUUAAUCGUAAUUAAUCGCAAUUAAUCGCAAUUAAUCACAAUUCAAACCAUCUAUGCCAUAUUUUUCUGUAAAUUAUUGUUGGAAUGGAAAGAUAAGACACAAGAUGGAUAUAUACAUACAACAUACGGUACAUAAGGACUGUAUUUGUUUAUUAUAACAAUAGAUCAACAAGAUGGCAUUAACAUUAUUAACAUUCUGUUAAAGCGAUCCAUGGAUAGAAAGACUUGUAGUUCCUAAAAGAAAAAUGUUAGUACAAGUUAUAAAAAUUUUGUAUUAAAACCCCUCUUAAUGUUUUCGUUUUAAUAAAAUUUGUAAAAUUUUCAAUCAAAAAAUAAACUAGUAGCCCGCCAUUGUUGAUGUCAAUAAUUACUUACACAAUGCUCAUGGGUGCUGAAGCCUAUAAAAUCAGUUGCACCCAAGCGCCAGCAGAGGGCGGCAAAACUCCAUAAAACACAACAAGUGAGCGUUUCACUGUACUGUCAUUUAAAUCUGUCUGAGCGGGGCAUCUGCGUUAAUUGCGUCAAAUAUUUUAACAUGAUUAAUUAAAAAAUAAUAAUAAUAAUAACGCCCGUUAACGCGAUAAUUUUGACAGCCCUAAUUUUGAGAUGAUUUGGCUAUAUACUAGUACAACAAUUUGGCAAAGCGCAGAUGAUGAGAAAUUAGUCUUUUAAUCUGCCGUUUAGCCUCACCUGUCAUUGUAGCACUGUAGCGUUGGCAGGGUCACGAUUUCAGCUGAUUUAGAAUUCAGUCCAUUGAGGGGGAAGAUUCAGAAAGAGGAAAAUGCGACACAGAGCAGCAAAAUGUCCUGAUUGUUUCAAUCCUCUACUCCAAUAUUUCUACAGGUUAUAUAUGGUAUGGUCGUGACAAAUAACGGUCUUGUGCUAAAUGGAAUAUGAAAUAUUAAAAAUGCAUUUCUUCAGUACGACAGGGCAAAAUUACUGUAUAAUGGUCAAAACUGCUGAGUUCCCGAACGGUAUUUUAUGCCACCGGAGUUAGUCCGGCUUUUGUCAUUGCCCUGCCCCAGCUUCGGAGACAAAGGAAAGAGUGUAAACAAAACAGGAAGCAUGACAGCUAGCUGACAUUUUAACCCGACUGAGCGGCGUUUCCAAGUCUUUAUCUCGCCUUUUGAAAGCAAAAAAAUCACACAAAACUACCCCGACACACACGGCAGUGGGGUUGAUUGUCUUCACCGAUCGGCCAGCCCCCGGUGUUCUGCCAAAUUUUGCACCCGUAUGAUAUUUUGCUCCCAACGCUGUUGUGGCAGUGAAUAAGCCCUCUUUUACAUUCAGUUGGACUCUCAGUGUUAUCCCUAGGUGUUAAAUAAAGAGUAACAUCGCGAACAUACAUGUUCAACACGAAUAUGGCGUAAAUUUAUGCUGAACGACACGGCGAAGACAUAAACAGUGAGAGAGUGGCGUGCAGUUGUUGUGUGCAGCUAACAUGGCAGUAUGUGUCUGAGGAGAACUUUUCUAAUUUCCGUCCAUGAUCAAACGUAAGUAAAUAUUCCUUUAUUUAUAGAAAGUUUGUUGUGUUUACUUUGUAACCACUGUAUUCGCGGCCAUUUUUCUCACAACGUUUCUGAUGGGGUGCAAACAGAAUUUGACAUUACACCCACGUGGAACAAGUUAUGGCUCGUUGUUCUGCUGCGGCCCUAGCGGGCAGGCAGGGUAAUAAGAUAGGGGAAUGAACGAGGAAAAUAGUGCAUUCUCGGUAGACAAACCGGCCGACGUCGGAGCGAGGGGCUGAUCGGGGCAAAGCCGAGGAAAGCGCUAUGUGGGCGGGCAGGCGAAGAGGUCUUGGGUGGGGGGUGUGACAAGCCACCGGUCGUUGGCCGUGUGGCUUUCUUGUUGGACAGGGAGUUUCGUCACCAACAAAAUGCAAGCCACCUCCUUAUUAAAAUGUGUGCCAUGAUCCCAGUAUUUGACAUAAUACAAAACACGUAGUUUACUCAUUUCCUCGUUGGUCCAAAGGUCCCAGUUGUUGACUUGUUUUGGCCACUCUAUGCGCAGUGAACACGAACUUUUUGAAACCCAAAAAAGCUCACACGCCUCUCCGUGGUGCAGCAACAAAACACACUGGGCUGGCGUGAGGCAAAAAACAAACGAAUUAAUCCGCAACAUCGGCUGUAUCCGCAGCCCUUCUGCAUGCUAUGGCUAAUGGCUGUAUUGGGAGAUGGUGGCCUGGCUGACCUUACAUUCACAUUCUUCCUCAAUCCAGGAAGUCACUCAUUUUCAUGGCGCUUGAUUCCAAAAUUUUAAUAAAUAAAUUGAUCGCUUCCACACACAUCCAAGUGGUCUAUUUCAUUCAGGAGCAUAAAAUACCACAUGAAAUAUGAAAUAAACAUGCUUUUUGCUGUCAUAGGCACUUUAAGAAGCAAGAAGAAUCGGAGACUGAUCAUAGAUAAGGAGUGCAGUUACAUUCUGCAAUUUCAUUAUCCCUGCUGGAGUUAAUUGAUUUUAAUAAAGGCACUAUUUCCACAGUUCAACUUUAUUAGACUGGAUUUCAGCAUGAAGGUAAAAAAUAAAUAAAAAAACAAAACAAAAAAAACGUUAUAUGCAAUGUUAUGUGUAAUUUAUUUUCUGUGGGAAACGGGUCCACAUGCCUCUUUGAGCAGUCAAGGUGUCCGACCUCUGUUCUAAACUGUUGCAAUGAGUCAUUUUCUGUUUUGUUAAAAUAUUUCUUAAACAUAUUUGUCUCAUUUUCAGUACGUAAACAAAAUAAAAUUCAGUAGAAAAUUUAGUUAUGCACAGCACUGUUAUUAAACUGCCUAAAUGACAUGAAAAGGGUAACCAAAAUCCCUUGCAUGAUAAUUACAUCUCUAUUUUUAUUUCUUGACCCAUAAGUUUAAAUGUGAAUAUACUUAGCAAGUGUAGUUUUGCAUGUCCAAUACCAUGUAUUCUAAAGGUAGCCCUGCUUAUUGUGAAUGUGCAUUUGCAUUUGUUUAGA